ACGUGAUCUGAGUUCAGACCGGAGUAAUCCAGGUCAGUUUCUAUCUAUAAAGGGCUUUUUCUAGUACGAAAGGACCGAAAAAGCAUGGCCAAUGACACAUUAAGCCAUAUUAAUAACUUAUGACUUAUACUUAAUUAUUAAAAAACCUUAUAUUUUACUCAAAACAAGAGAA
Molecule: ribosomal RNA, 172 nt
Filed under: Boana buriti
Lineage: Eukaryota; Metazoa; Chordata; Amphibia; Anura; Hylidae
Description: partial 16S ribosomal RNA
Source: RNAcentral